Molecule: ribosomal RNA, 253 nt
Filed under: uncultured bacterium
Lineage: Bacteria
Description: partial 16S ribosomal RNA
Rfam family: Bacterial small subunit ribosomal RNA
Source: RNAcentral
UACGUAGGGUGCAAGCGUUGUCCGGAAUUAUUGGGCGUAAAGAGCUCGUAGGCGGUCUGUCGCGUCUGCUGUGAAAACUCAGGGCUUAACCCUGAGCUUGCAGUGGGUACGGGCAGACUAGAGUGCGGUAGGGGAGACUGGAAUUCCUGGUGUAGCGGUGAAAUGCGCAGAUAUCAGGAGGAACACCGGUGGCGAAGGCGGGUCUCUGGGCCGUAACUGACACUGAGGCGCGAAAGCGUGGGGAGCAAACAGG